UACGGAGGAUGCAAGCGUUACUCCGGGAUUUACUUGGGUUUAAAGGGUGGCGCAGGUUGUUUGAUAAGUCAGUGGUGAAAGUCUGUCGCUUAACGGUAGGAUUGCCAUUGAUACUGUUAGACUUGAAUAUGGAUGAGGUAGGCGGAAUGUGUAGUGUAGCGGUGAAAUGCAUAGAUAUUACACAGAACACCGAUUGCGAAGGCAGCUUACUAAUCCAUCAUUGACGCUGAGGCACGAAAGCGUGGGGAUCAAACAGGA
This 258-nucleotide ribosomal RNA is filed under the name uncultured prokaryote. Its description in RNAcentral is "partial 16S ribosomal RNA". It matches the Rfam family "Bacterial small subunit ribosomal RNA", at positions 524 to 777 of the family's 1533-position model. The record is from RNAcentral.